Molecule: unclassified non-coding RNA, 190 nt
Filed under: soil metagenome
Description: partial internal transcribed spacer 1
Source: RNAcentral
CACAAUAAAAUAUGAAGGCUGUACGCGGCUGUGCUCUCGGGCCAGUUUUGCGGAGGCUGAAUUAUUUAUUACCCUUGUCUUUUGCGCACUUGUUGUUUCCUGGGCGGGUUGCGCCCGCCACCAGGACCACAUCAUAAACCUUUUUUAUGCAGUUGCAAUCAGCGUCAGUAUAACAAAUGUAAAUCAUUUA